RNAcentral lists this long non-coding RNA (542 nucleotides) under Brassica napus (rape). RNAcentral describes it as "long non-coding RNA (BNAP_LNC007369)". The record is from RNAcentral. Lineage: Eukaryota; Viridiplantae; Streptophyta; Magnoliopsida; Brassicales; Brassicaceae.
GUUUGAGACAAUAACCAAGUUGAACAAGAUCAUGGAGAAUUCUCUAAGGGUAACUACAGGGAGACAGAGCUAGUGGUGUUGGGACUGUCAAAAAGAGAAUACUUAGUUCAAGGUGGAGCUGUUUCAUCAAGAAUAAGUUACAGCUGAGAAGACAAGGAACUAAAGAAGUGAUAAGUGGAAUUCUCUGAGGCAGAAACUGAAUAAAGGCCAGAAGAUCAAAGAAUUGUGAAGCUGUCUCAAGGGUAAGGCUACAUGAAACGUUGUCAGCGACUGUGGUGCUUAAUGCAGGGACAGUCGAGUGAAGUUUCAAAUAUCAGAAGCAUGGUAAAGUGAAGCUGAGAGACAUCAAGGCUUCUGUAAAGUCUGAGAAAGUAAAGGGUACAUGCACCAAGUAUUGGUGGGGUUCGCAGGUCAGCGAAGUACAAGCUUUUGCUUCAGGAAGAUUGUCUUGAGGAUUGUCACAGGUGGUGUACGUAUGAGACGGUUGCGGAAACACAUUAUGAGCUCGAAGAUAUAAUGUGAAGAAGCUGAAAAGGAAUUUC